Long non-coding RNA from Xiphophorus couchianus (Monterrey platyfish), 155 nucleotides. RefSeq lists it as uncharacterized. NCBI's taxonomy places the organism in Eukaryota, Metazoa, Chordata, Actinopteri, Cyprinodontiformes, Poeciliidae. The transcript is spliced from 3 exons. The record is from RefSeq and is a predicted model, not a curated record.
ACACGUGUCAAACUCAAGACCCGUGGAUCCAAUCCGGCCCACCACAGCUUUUUAUGUGGCCCUCUAAAUCCUAGACUAAACAUUAAGUAUGCUUAAAUAUUAUGUUAUCAAUCAAAUCAGUGCAGAUUUUAUCUGUUUGCUGCCAAAUUAUAUCA